GCGGCCGUGGCGGAAUUGGCAGACGUGCACGCUUGAGGUGCGUGUGAUUAAACUCGUGCGGGUUCAAAUCCCGCCGGCCGCACCA
Molecule: transfer RNA, 85 nt
Filed under: Clostridiaceae bacterium
Lineage: Bacteria; Bacillati; Bacillota; Clostridia; Eubacteriales; Clostridiaceae
Description: tRNA-Leu
Rfam family: tRNA
About the family: Transfer RNA (tRNA) molecules are approximately 80 nucleotides in length. Their secondary structure includes four short double-helical elements and three loops (D, anti-codon, and T loops). Further hydrogen bonds mediate the characteristic L-shaped molecular structure. tRNAs have two regions of fundamental functional importance: the anti-codon, which is responsible for specific mRNA codon recognition, and the 3' end, to which the tRNAs corresponding amino acid is attached (by aminoacyl-tRNA synthetases). tRNAs cope with the degeneracy of the genetic code in two manners: having more than one tRNA (with a specific anti-codon) for a particular amino acid; and 'wobble' base-pairing, i.e. permitting non-standard base-pairing at the 3rd anti-codon position.
Source: RNAcentral